This 388-nucleotide ribosomal RNA is filed under the name uncultured bacterium. RNAcentral's name for it is "bacterial SSU rRNA". It matches the Rfam family "Bacterial small subunit ribosomal RNA", at positions 28 to 407 of the family's 1533-position model. The record is from RNAcentral.
GAUGAACGCUAGCUACAGGCUUAACACAUGCAAGUCGAGGGGCAGCAUGAACUUAGCUUGCUAAGUUUGAUGGCGACCGGCGCACGGGUGCGUAACGCGUAUCCAACCUUCCCGUUACUCAGGUAUAGCCUUGCGAAAGUAAGAUUAAUCCCUGAUGACAUAUGUUUGCUGCAUGGUGAACAUAUUAAAGAUUUAUUGGUAACGGAUGGGGAUGCGUUCCAUUAGGUAGUUGGUGAGGUAACGGCUCACCAAGCCCGCGAUGGAUAGGGGUUCUGAGAGGAAGGUCCCCCACACUGGAACUGAGACACGGACCAGACUCCUACGGGGAGCAGCAGUGAGGAAUAUUGGUCAAUGGGCGGGAGCCUGAACCAGCCAAGUCGCGUGAGGG